AUGCCCAUUCUAAUGACAGAUGAACAACAAAUAAAACAAAAACAGAGCAAUGAUACAGCAAUAGAACCCCCUGCCAUGAUAUUUGCUUGCUUUUGCAAAUCGAUCAUCUGCAUUAGAUGUUUCUUGAUCUUCUUCAGUUCCUCGGUCAGUUUGGACCCCGCAUGCAGUUCAUCAUUGCGCGCAUACAUCGCCAUCGGCACGACUCUGCCCGCCCCUCCGCCAAAGCUCCCCAUAUUCUCCAUAGCAAUCGGCGGCACCCCGCCCAAAUUGAGCUCCCAGGUUGCGGCCACGCUCAAAUCCUAUCAAACUAAAUCCUAUCAACAUAUUCAUCAAUCCACUUGA
This 342-nucleotide ribosomal RNA is filed under the name Triticum aestivum (bread wheat). RNAcentral's name for it is "partial small subunit ribosomal RNA". The record is from RNAcentral. Lineage: Eukaryota; Viridiplantae; Streptophyta; Magnoliopsida; Poales; Poaceae.